CACCGCCGCAAUCCCCUUCGCCUGCACCGCCGGCCACCGCCGCAGGGCGGACGGCGAACGGCUUCGGGAACGGAAGGAGACGUGAAGUAUCCGCCGCAGCGCCGGCGCCAACCACACGGAGUCCCGGAAGCGCCGAGGCCGAGCCUCGGCAGAUGGCAGUAAUCGAUCCGCGCACACGGACAAGCUGGGGGCGAUAGCCAUCAGAUCUGAUGAAAUAUAGAUCUGGAUCCACCAGAUCUGGUGCUACCGGUGUCUUACUAUCUGAUUUGAGGGGACAUCUUUUUAUCCGUGGCUACAGUGCAGGGACCUCUGAUUGAAGCCAAUAUCAACAGCCUCCUCUCAGUCAACGUCAACGACUGGGCCUUGAGAAUCCAGUGAUUUUUUUGUUUUUUUUGUUUCACACAACCGUUGUGUCAAUCUAUGGAAAUUGUAUAUCCCUAUUUUUACAGGUAAUUUAGAUAUAAAGAUGUGUUGACUAGUAUUGUUACUUGAUAGUUUAGUAUCAUAUUCAUGAUGUAUUUUCUUUAAAAAGAUGUAGUUUUGGUUUUCAUGGUAUAAUUUAUAGUGUCAUUUUAUUUGUGUUUAAUAGCAACACAAAAUAUAGUAUAUUAAAAUUACGUGUUUUUAUUGCAUCUUUUCAGAAAAUAUACAUAUAAAAUAUUUCAUUUGUUGACUUGUUGGUGAAUUUUUGUUCAGCGGGAUAGAGUUAAGUAUGGAACACUUUUGUUCAUUGGACUUGUAUUUAAGAUGCAUUGUUUCUUAUGAUCAAGUGUACUAGCUCGUUCUAUGAUUAAUAUCAUGCAAUUGAAUUUGACAUGUUCAUGAUUUGUUGUAGUUAUAGAAUCCACUUUUCAAUGUAAUUAACUUGAUGUAAAAAGCCAAAAAGAUUACAAUAAGACCAUCAACAUUACUAUGUUAUAUACUUUAAAAUCACAAAAUUGUGCAUAGAGAUCAUGUAUGAACGGGCACCUUUGGUAGAUGUGAUGUGCGAUGGUGGGCUGAUCGUCACCACUAACUCUAAUAUUUAUAGGAGUAAAUGUUGGAGUAUGUAUCAUAGAUUGGUUUCUCGUCCUUUGACCCAAAUGCUACCAACUGCAGGUGAUAUGAAGUAAGAGCAUACCUGUUUACAAUGCAACCAGUAGAAUCUAUAGUAAUUUAACUCACCAUAUAAACAGAGCCAUUAUCAUGUUUGAUCCAACCACAUAGGUCUCAUUCGUGUCGAACCAAGCGAUGAUCUAAAGAAACUAUGCUUGUCGUAUAAUUGCUAAUGCAGUGCCACAUACCAAAAUUCAGCUCAUGUAAAAAGUAAGUCAGGUUUUGUAGUUCAAUCAACAUGAAUGCAAAAGAUCUGGUUUGCAACUGGUGUGUCCAGACUCCACCUUUUGUAGUUCAAUAAACAUGAAUGCAAAAGAUCACAAUGCACAGAAUAUGGUAUUUUCCUUAGCAUCAACUUUAACACUAGGAAAUUUGGUUGGGCUGAGAGGUGAUAACUUCGAUAGCAGCUAAGUUUCUGAACUGGAAUAACUGCUCACACACUGGUAGACUGCUUCACAUAUAGUGCAAUUGGCUUCUAGAAGUAAGGACUUUCAACACCCUGGAAUAUGUACUCUCAUGUGGCAUGAGGGCACAUCCUUCGCAGAAGAAAUGUGCUAUCAUGACUGCAUACGCGUUGAAAAGGUUUCAUGUAGCAUACAAGUACACAAAUUGAAAUAUAUUAAUUACAACAAAAUAAAUGGUAUGAGCCUGGAGCUGCAGAUUCAGUGUGCACGAUUGUGACUAAAUGAAUUUAUGAAGCAAGAAGAUGAAGUGGUGAAGUGCUACACCAAAUUUGUCCAAAAUACUUAUUUGGAUGGUGCAAAUUGCACUAAUCCAGCCAUAUGAGUUUGUUUCCAAAGUAACAGCAUUUAAAUUUAUUUGGAUUUAGUUAUGUGCUACAAACAAUCACAAAAUUAAGUGAGUAGAUAAUUUGUAUCAUUUAUGCUUUAGCAAUUAUUAUCGGGCUUAGCACUGAGCCUUAUUUCAUCAACAGUAUUUUGCACUGGAAUUGUAUCAAGGACCCUGGUAACCUAUGACCCAAGUAAUCUAGGAGAAACAAUUUAAUAAAAAGGAAGUUAUAAGAACAACAAGAACUUUGAGCUUCCCCCAUACAUGUAACCACCCUAUGGCUUGACAUUAACCAUCCAACUGAGUGGGCAAACAAAACUAUCUGUUCUUUAUUUCAAGUAUCUUCACAUACAACUAAGUUGCUUCUCAUGGUGCCCACACAUGUUCAGAUGACAAUUUACAAGAUCCUAUACUGAAAUCAGAUGUUCCAUCUGAAUAUAAAUGGUCCAUCAGAUGAAAGAUGGAGUGUUUGUAAUUCUUAUUUGCACUUUCAGAAAGAACAGUUUUGCAACCAUGUUUCAGAAAGAACUUCCCCUCCAUAUGCAAAUCACAAUGUUAAUUAUUUGCACACACUGGAGAAGUACCAGCGGCCCAGGUGAGUUUAUUUAUUUAGUGGCAUCUGAAAUCUUUCUUUCAAAUACCUUCAGACUUAUCCUACUCAUCCUCCGAGGUUGCAAAAGUCUCGUGACACUUCUAAAGGUGAGACUUUAAUUGUUAUAUAAUCUGAUGUUGGAAAAUUGGCUUGUUAGGAACUUGUUCGUAGUGAAGAUGAUGACCAUCAUAUCAACAAUUGAGACUUGAAAUUGUUUGUAUUGUAGAUGCUGAUUACAGUGCUACAAAGACGUCAAAAUCCGUGCUUGCUCAUUCUCAUCUCUACACUGAAUCUCGCAUCUGACCUGCCAAUGCAGUAUUAUACCUCUACAUGAAGAUUGUAUUCACGGUUGAUAUUUGUUGCACCAAUUGCAAGUGUGUUUCUCUGAUAUCUGGGUUCGAGGGUGCUACAACAUUGAUUAAUUUUAGCAUUGAGGAUGAAGGUGGGGGGGUAUUAAUCGUGCAUCACAAGAAAUUUCAGAACCAACAUCAAGGAGAAUAGAUUGGAAUUUCACUUGUAUUGUUGGAGUUAAAAAAUGGGCCACAGCUACCCCUCACUAAGGUGUGUGGUCCAUUUAUGAAAGCCUCCGCUCAGCAGGCUGUGAAGCCCACUCGCAAACUCUAGCUCGAAUAUGUAGUCUUCAAGUUGAGCAUGGCUCAUUCUUGCAAGAUUCAGUCAUCCAGCCAUAUUAUGGUAGGCGUGGCCAGAAUCUAUUCUCAGAAGGUCAACUGCUCAUUUCAUGAUUGCACUGAAGCUUUGCAGUUUUGGCCCAUUUCAUGAGUCUCACAAGGUAAACAAGCCUUCAGGUCUCCCCCCUGAAGAAUCAACUGCUCCAACCAUUCUGUAACACUUCCUGAAACAUUCCAUCUUGAUGAUUCUCUUUUUGUGAUAAUUUAAUUGUUUAAACACACGCUCUUCAGUAGUCUGAGUACUUUCCAGCACGCUCCAGCAACAUUGAUCAUCACCUAAGCGCAAAACAACAUAUCACCUUGCAAGACAACCCAGGUAGAAAAGGAUAUUCAACAUCUGAAUUUGGUUUAGAUGGCUGGUCGAUUCUGUGUUCACAUCUUCUACUUUUGAAAUUAUGAACCCAUCAGUUAAUUAUUUAUGCAUAUCUAAAUGUGCAGAAAGAUUUUGUGAUGUCAAUUCUUCACAUAUGGGUUUGGAUUUGGAAGAGGUAAUCAUAAUUUAUCUCAACUUACAUUCCUCAGCUGUAUUGGGCUAUCUUUUGUUCAUUACAUGUUGGACUUGCUAAUUCAUUGAAAAGAAGGUUGUUUAUGUAUGUUGCGGGUCGAAGAAUGCUCUAUAGUUCUUGUGGUUUUGUGUUUCCCUACGUAUUAUGUCUUAAUUAAUAAAAGAACUGUCUGAACAACAUAUUAUUACCAUUGAACUUAUGUUCUUUACAAUGGCUGACCUUACUGCUGACGAAGUAUCACUCGGUUCAACUCCUAGUCUGAUGAUGGGUAAAAUCACAUCUUUGUCUUCCAAAUCCUUUCUCAUUGGAUUUUCUUGCCUGUUGCAGUGGCCUGCAUCUGUUCCUCAUCCAAAGGGUUCAUUUUUGUUUUCUGAUUUUGUGGAAAUGAUUUUACCCUCCUCCAGGCUGUUUUAUAUUUUGAUUUCAAUCUCUAACUGAAUAUUUUAAACCUUGACUCGUAUGGUUGGAGGAUCAGUUACUAGCUUCUGCUGGUAGAUGUCCAGGUGUCCUUGCAUAUAUAUUGACUGUUUGCGCGCUGAGUUGCAGCGUUCAUUGAUUUGCUACUCGUACCAUGUGAACAUUUCUCACUUCUUUGCUGCCUUGCCAUAUUUUAAAUUGUAACGCCUUGCAUUUUGCUGUUUUACCCAUAUUGUGCUACAUAUGCAUUGCUUGGGUCUUUCUUUUUGUGCCUCCAGUAUUAUCAUUGAAGGCCGGUCAUCAGUUCAUCUUACUGAUGUGUAUGUUGACGCUGACCCAAGUAUAGAUGAAGGGGCUGAAGGAUUUAACGACAUGGAUGAUGAAGAUUUAACAACAUGGAUGAUGAACCUCCUAGUUACAGAAAUCAUAUUCCUAACUUGACUGGUUACAAUGUGCAGACCGCUGAUUUGAAUAUGCUACUGCUCAAUGAAGAUGAUGCAGGACCAUCAACGACAUACUAUCAACCUAGAUGAGCCUGAGUCACCUGAGCAUGUAAACGCACACGCACCAGCUACACAUUGAUUGAUGGAAGAAACAGUUCCUUCCAGAGUGCAGGAAAGUCCUAUACUGAGCCCUCAACGAAAAGCUUCACCAUCAAGCUACGAGGAAACUGGCAAGCCUGACAAUUUUGCCACUCCACCCUCAGAAUUUCUCCAGUCAGCUGCAGCAAAUGCUAAUGAUGUUGUUGGUCCUGAGAUCAUUGAUUUUGGAAUAACUAAAGCUCUGCAAGUUGAAACUACUGUGGAUAGGUUGGUGCUAAAUACUGAUGAUACAGCUGUAUCAGGUGAAAUCCCAAUAGAACACCGGAACAGUACACAAUACAUGCAUAGACUGAAUCACUGAGAAAACGUUACUCAGAGAGGACAGGCAAGCACAGAGCCAUAAAGACCAGUAGCUAACAAAAGAGAUAGCUUGUAGCAGAAAAAGUUACUUGGUGGACAGGAGUACAGAGUCAUACUGACGUUACAUACAGCAACAUAGGUAAAUAAUUUGUACUGCAGAUUCUCAUUACAUAGCUUGUUUUGGAUGUCUGGAUUAUGCAGCACCAGUGCACCACUCCUUCGAGCUAAUGAUUUGGGCUGUUGCCCCGCAUCUGUCGGAAGAAAAAAAUGUAAGUAAUAACAUCAUGAAUGUAAAGAACCACAGUAGCACAGUAGUGUAAAUAUUGGAAAAAAAGAGCACUGUAUUUUCUUAUAUAUAAAUCACCAUUGGUUGUUUUCUCAUCGUUUCACCCCCCACAAACUGCAGCUGAGUCACCCCCCACAAACUGCAGUUGAGAACAUGCCCGUUUACAAUGCAAAUGCUAAUGAUUUCGGAUUACCCUACUUUUUGUCUUUUUGAUAAAACCAUGGCCUAUUUGAACCAUGAACUGUUUCUGCAGUUAAAAUCUGAUAAUUCUAACUUCUAAUUGCAAGGCUGCAGAUUCAGUGUGCGCAUGGGGACUGAUGAAUUUCCGGUUGUUACUGCAUGCUAGAAUUAUCAGAUUCAGUUUUCAGUCUGUACAAGGACAGGCUGCAGAUUCAGUGUGCGCAUGGGGACUGAUGAAUUUCCGGUUGUUAGCACUGCAUGCUACAAACUGUAAUAUUUUGCUCUAUACUUUUAUGACAAUAUUUUGUUGCAUUGGCACUAUCAAUGA
Long non-coding RNA from Lolium rigidum, 5784 nucleotides. RefSeq lists it as uncharacterized. The record is from RefSeq and is a predicted model, not a curated record. Lineage: Eukaryota; Viridiplantae; Streptophyta; Magnoliopsida; Poales; Poaceae. The transcript is spliced from 5 exons.